RNAcentral lists this ribosomal RNA (446 nucleotides) under uncultured bacterium. Its description in RNAcentral is "partial 16S ribosomal RNA". It matches the Rfam family "Bacterial small subunit ribosomal RNA", at positions 338 to 795 of the family's 1533-position model. The record is from RNAcentral.
CCUACGGGUGGCAGCAGUCGAGAAUCAUUCACAAUGGGGGAAACCCUGAUGGUGCGACGCCGCGUGGGGGAAUGAAGGUCUUCGGAUUGUAAACCCCUGUCAUGUGGGAGCAAAUUAAAAAGAUAGUACCACAAGAGGAAGAGACGGCUAACUCUGUGCCAGCAGCCGCGGUAAUACAGAGGUCUCAAGCGUUGUUCGGAAUCACUGGGCGUAAAGCGUGCGUAGGCUGUUUCGUAAGUCGUGUGUGAAAGGCGCGGGCUCAACCCGCGGACGGCACAUGAUACUGCGGGACUAGAGUAAGGGAGGGGGAACCGGAAUUCUCGGUGUAGCAGUGAAAUGCGUAGAUAUCGAGAGGAACACUCGUGGCGAAGGCGGGUUCCUGGACAUUAACUGACGCUGAGGCACGAAGGCCAGGGGAGCGAAAGGGAUUAGAUACCCUUGUAGUC